CCCUAGUAUAAAUACUUAUUUAAUUAGUAUAAAUGAAAUUUAAUAAUUUUGGCGGUUGAUUAUUAUUUAGAGGAGCUUGUAUUUGCAGAAUUUACUCUUUAUAUUUUAUUAAUAAUUUAAUUUAUUCAUCUCCGUUAUUAAUCUUUAAAAAAAAAGAUUAGAAAAUCAUGUUAUUUAGGAUUUCAGGUCAAGAUGUAAUUUUAUUAAAAGAUAUUAGCUACAUUUAUGAAAUUAAUGAAUAAUAUGAAAGAUAAAGGUAAGAAUUAUAAGAAAUUGAAUUUAGAUGUAAUAGUAAUUAAAAUGUUAUUGUGAAUAGGUUUAAUUAAUGUAUAUAUUGCCCGUCACUUCUAUUANAA
RNAcentral lists this ribosomal RNA (356 nucleotides) under Heliella singularis. RNAcentral's name for it is "partial small subunit ribosomal RNA". The record is from RNAcentral. Lineage: Eukaryota; Metazoa; Arthropoda; Arachnida; Opiliones; Gonyleptidae.